Brienomyrus brachyistius is the source of this 785-nucleotide long non-coding RNA. RefSeq lists it as uncharacterized. The record is from RefSeq and is a predicted model, not a curated record. Lineage: Eukaryota; Metazoa; Chordata; Actinopteri; Osteoglossiformes; Mormyridae. The transcript has 3 exons.
GAAUUACGUAUAUCUCUUUUAAUAAAUGGAGGGAUUUGAUUCACACCCGGCAAUGAGGGGCUACACCCAAGUAAGCAGUGCAGGGCUCUGUUGUCAUUCCUUCGCACGAGGGCUUGGACUAACCUGGAAAUCGAUUCCUCUGUAUCGACAAUACCGUGACUUGGGGAACACGUAAUCGAACACCGAACCAAAGAACUUACAAGCCAGCUACACGGUGACGUCCUUCAGACUAGGACACUGCGGACAUGUCCGAGAGCCGUGCCAAAUCUUAGCAGGGAAGCACUGAUCCGUGCUGCCAAGCCGUACAGCUCCUGUGCCGGAUUCGACCAGAGGAAGUUCCAAGUUAUUGGAAGGAUAAACCGAAAUUGCGACCCUGAAAUGGGUAAGCGGCCAUGGAAGAUGGAUGGAUGGAUGGAUGGAUCAACGGACGUUAUGCGAUCUGUGGCACCCAGGAGAAGAAGCAGCUGACGUUUUGAACUCCAGAUGUUCAUGCAUGGUGUGUUGCUGGUGAAGUGUGUCAGUAGGGCUUACAUCCCAAGCCUGAUCUACCUCUGCCGUAUGGAGUGGGUUUACUGGACCGUCCUUCCUGGGGAGUCCAUCUACGGCCGAAGAAGAUAUCCGAUGCGACCUCUAUGGGGAAUAAGCAAAGCGGAACACCGCCUCAUUCAUUCCUGCCGAAAGAGGGAGGAUUUCUCUUUAAAUGCUGGACAACUCUUCUUUUUUAGCCCGUCACAUGACCCCAGUCACCCUCUACCCACCUCCGGCGGCUCCUGGACCAAAACAGG